CGGAACAACUGAGGGAAACUUCAGCUAAUACCGGAUAAGCCCUUACGGGGAAAGAUUUAUCGCCGAAAGAUCGGCCCGCGUCUGAUUAGCUAGUUGGUGAGGUAAUGGCUCACCAAGGCGACGAUCAGUAGCUGGUCUGAGAGGAUGAUCAGCCACAUUGGGACUGAGACACGGCCCAAACUCCUACGGGAGGCAGCAGUGGGGAAUAUUGGACAAUGGGCGCAAGCCUGAUCCAGCCAUGCCGCGUGAGUGAUGAAGGCCCUAGGGUUGUAAAGCUCUUUUGUGCGGGAAGAUAAUGACGGUACCGCAAGAAUAAGCCCCGGCUAACUUCGUGCCAGCAGCCGCGGUAAUACGAAGGGGGCUAGCGUUGCUCGGAAUCACUGGGCGUAAAGGGUGCGUAGGCGGGUCUUUAAGUCAGGGGUGAAAUCCUGGAGCUCAACUCCAGAACUGCCUUUGAUACUGAAGAUCUUGAGUUCGGGAGAGGUGAGUGGAACUGCGAGUGUAGAGGUGAAAUUCGUAGAUAUUCGCAAGAACACCAGUGGCGAAGGCGGCUCACUGGCCCGAUACUGACGCUGAGGCACGAAAGCGUGGGGAGCAAACAGGAUUAGAUACCC
Molecule: ribosomal RNA, 614 nt
Filed under: Bradyrhizobium sp. INPA10A
Lineage: Bacteria; Pseudomonadati; Pseudomonadota; Alphaproteobacteria; Hyphomicrobiales; Nitrobacteraceae
Also listed under: 7 other names
Description: bacterial SSU rRNA
Rfam family: Bacterial small subunit ribosomal RNA
Source: RNAcentral